Molecule: ribosomal RNA, 410 nt
Filed under: uncultured microorganism
Description: bacterial SSU rRNA
Rfam family: Bacterial small subunit ribosomal RNA
Source: RNAcentral
CAGCCGCCGCGGUAAUACGUAGGGUGCGAGCGUUAAUCGGAUUUACUGGGCGUAAAGCGUGCGCAGGCGGCCCGUUAAGACAGGUGUGAAAUCCCUGGGCUCAACCUAGGAAUUGCGCUUGUGACUGGCGGGCUCGAGUACGGUAGAGGGGGGUGGAAUUCCUGGGGUAGCAGUGAAAUGCGUAGAGAUCAGGAGGAACACCGAUGGCGAAGGCAGCCCCCUGGGCCUGUACUGACGCUCAUGCACGAAAGCGUGGGGAGCAAACAGGAUUAGAUACCCUGGUAGUCCACGCCCUAAACGAUGGGUACUAGCCGUUUGGUGCGCGAUAGCGCUGAGUGGCGAAGCUAACGCGUGAAGUACCCCGCCUGGGGAGUACGGCCGCAAGGUUGAAACUUAAAGGAAUUGGCGGG